RNAcentral lists this ribosomal RNA (435 nucleotides) under Triticum aestivum (bread wheat). Its description in RNAcentral is "partial small subunit ribosomal RNA". The record is from RNAcentral. Lineage: Eukaryota; Viridiplantae; Streptophyta; Magnoliopsida; Poales; Poaceae.
GGCGCCGUCCAAGGUCGCCUCUUCCUCGCCCUGAACCUGGUCCUCGUGGCAGCCACGCAUGGCUGCGGGUCGUACUGCGGCAACACACCGGCCGUCCCAAUGCCAGCCCCGCCGAUCGCCGUGCCCCCGCCGGUCGUCCCGGUCCCGACCCCUCCGACGACCGGAAGCAGCAGCGGCACCUGCUCGAUCAAUACACUGAAGCUGAAGGCGUGCGGCAACGUACUCAACCUGCUAAAGCUCAACCUCGGCGUGCCGACGAGCGAGGACUGCUGCCCACUGCUCGGCGGGCUCGCCGACCUCGACGCCGCAGUGUGCCUCUACACCGCCAUCAAGGCCAACGUUCUCGGCAUCAAGCUCAACGUCCCCGUCGACCUGGUGCUCCUCCUCAACCAGUGCGGCAAGACCUGCCCCGCUGACUUCACCUGCCCCAGCUGA